This 365-nucleotide long non-coding RNA is filed under the name Manihot esculenta (cassava). RNAcentral describes it as "long non-coding RNA (MESC_LNC002515)". Lineage: Eukaryota; Viridiplantae; Streptophyta; Magnoliopsida; Malpighiales; Euphorbiaceae. The record is from RNAcentral.
AAAAGUCAAGGAGGUAUAUCAUGAAGCUCCAUUCCAGGUAUUCCUCCUUGAUUCAGUCAGCAGAGAGGGAGAAUUUCCAUGCCAUAGUGGAUAUGGCUCAGAGGAUGGAGGCUAGUGCUAUCAUCGAAGGGAAAGUCAAGCAGUCAGUGGCACAGCCUUCUGGUUCCAAGACCCCAGGUGGGGGAAGGAUGGACUCUUCUUCUCUGAGUUCAGCUAGUAAGAGGUGGAGCAGUACCACCAAGAAGCCAAAGAAGAACAAGUUCUGAAAUAAGAUCAAGUCUGGUCUGGGAUUAGGAAGUGGUUCGAGCUCAGGUGCAGAUAAUGCAGUAUGCAAGAAGUGUGGGAAGCCGCACAAAGGAGUAUGU